UAAAGAAUAAGGAUCGGCUAACUCCGUGCCAGCAGCCGCGGUAAUACGGAGGAUCCAAGCGUUAUCCGGAUUUAUUGGGUUUAAAGGGUGCGUAGGCGGCGUUGUAAGUCAGUGGUGAAAGUUUGCAGCUUAACUGUAAAAUUGCCAUUGAUACUGCAGUGCUUGAGUACAGAUGAGGUGGGCGGAAUGUGUCAUGUAGCGGUGAAAUGCAUAGAUAUGACACAGAACACCGAUUGCGAAGGCAGCUCACUAAACUGUAACUGACGCUGAGGCACGAAAGCGUGGGGAUCAAACAGGAUUAGAUACCCUGGUAGUCCACGCCCUAAACGAUGAUUACUCGAUGUUAGCGAUAUACAGUUAGCGUCAAAGCGAAAGCGUUAAGUAAUCCACCUGGGGAGUACGCCGGCAACGGUGAAACUCAAAGGAAUUGACGGGGGCCCGCACAAGCGGAGGAGCAUGUGGUUUAAUUCGAUGAUACGCGAGGAACCUUACCCGGGCUUGAAAGUUAGUGAAUGAACCAGAAAUGGAUCAGUCCGCAAGGACACGAAACUAGGUGCUGCAUGGCUGUCGUCAGCUCGUGCCGUGAGGUGUUGGGUUAAGUCCCGCAACGAGCGCAACCCCUAUGUUUAGUUGCCAGCACGUAAUGGUGGGGACUCUAAACAGACUGCCUACGCAAGUAGAGAGGAAGGAGGGGACGACGUCAAGUCAUCAUGGCCCUUACGUCCGGGGCUACACACGUGCUACAAUGGUCGAUACAGAGGGCAGCAAGCUAGCAAUAGUAAGCAAAUCUCAAAAAGUCGAUCACAGUUCGGAUUGGGGUCUGCAACUCGACCCCAUGAAGUUGGAUUCGCUAGUAAUCGCAUAUCAGCAAUGAUGCGGUGAAUACGUUCCCGGGCCUUGUACACACCGCCCGUCAAGCCAUGAAAGCUGGGGGAACCUGAAGUCUGUCACCGCAAGGAGCGGCUUAGGUAAA
Molecule: ribosomal RNA, 973 nt
Filed under: bacterium enrichment culture clone B-MY15
Lineage: Bacteria
Also listed under: 1 other name
Description: bacterial SSU rRNA
Rfam family: Bacterial small subunit ribosomal RNA
Source: RNAcentral